AGGGUGUAAAACGCUGCAGACUUGGUGUUGGAAGUCCUUUGGGGGCAUUCAGUGCCGGAGAGAAGUUGUUAAGUCUGCUACUUGGGAGUACGUCCGCAAGGAUGAAACUUAAAGGAAUUGGCGGGGGAGCACCGCAACGGGAGGAGCGUGCGGUUUAAUUGGAUUCAACACCGUAAAACUCACCAGGGAAGACUGUUACAUGAAAGCCGAGAUGAAGACUCUGCUAGAUUUUUCAGAGAGGAGGUGCAUGGCGUCAGUGACU
RNAcentral lists this ribosomal RNA (262 nucleotides) under uncultured archaeon. RNAcentral describes it as "partial 16S ribosomal RNA". It matches the Rfam family "Archaeal small subunit ribosomal RNA", at positions 748 to 1008 of the family's 1478-position model. The record is from RNAcentral.